CCAAUAGCGUAUAUUAAAGUUGUUGCAGUUAAAAAGCUCGUAGUUGAAUUUCGGGGUUCUACCGUUGGUCGGGCUUUGUCUGUACUGGCGUGUAGAAUUUCUACCUUCUGGGGAACCAUUAUGUUAUUAAUUUAGCGUAGUGGGAAACCAGGACCUUUACCUUGAAAAAAUUAGAGUGUUCAAAGCAGGCUUAUGUCUGAAUACAUUAGCAUGGAAUAAUAGAAUAGGACGGUGGUCCUGUUUUGUUGGUUUCUGAAUCACCGUAAUGAUUAAUAGGGAUAGUUGGGUGCAUUAGUAUUCAAUUGUCAGAGGUGAAAUUCUUGGAUUUAUUGAAGACUAACUUCUGCGAAAGCAUUUGCCAAGGAUGUUUUCAUUAAUCAAGAACGAAAGUUAGGGGAUCGAAGACGAUCAGAUACCGUCGUAGUCUUAACCAUAAACUAUGCCGACUAGGGAUCGGACGAUGUUAAUUUUUCUUGACUCGUUCGGCGCCUUACG
RNAcentral lists this ribosomal RNA (495 nucleotides) under uncultured Glomeromycotina. RNAcentral's name for it is "partial small subunit ribosomal RNA". It matches the Rfam family "Eukaryotic small subunit ribosomal RNA", at positions 591 to 1092 of the family's 1831-position model. Lineage: Eukaryota; Fungi; Glomeromycota. The record is from RNAcentral.